GUGGGGAAUCUUGCGCAAUGGGCGAAAGCCUGACGCAGCCAUGCCGCGUGAAUGAUGAAGGUCUUAGGAUUGUAAAAUUCUUUCACCGGGGACGAUAAUGACGGUACCCGGAGAAGAAGCCCCGGCUAACUUCGUGCCAGCAGCCGCGGUAAUACGAAGGGGGCUAGCGUUGCUCGGAAUUACUGGGCGUAAAGGGCGCGUAGGCGGAUCGUUAAGUCAGGGGUGAAAUCCCAGAGCUCAACUCUGGAACUGCCCUUGCUACUGGCGAUCUUGAGUGUGAGAGAGGUAUGUGGAACUCCGAGUGUAGAGGUGAAAUUCGUAGAUAUUCGGAAGAACACCAGUGGCGAAGGCGACAUACUGGCUCAUUACUGACGCUGAGGCGCGAAAGCGUGGGGAGCAAACAGGAUUAGAUACCCGAGUAGUCC
Molecule: ribosomal RNA, 425 nt
Filed under: uncultured bacterium
Lineage: Bacteria
Description: partial 16S ribosomal RNA
Rfam family: Bacterial small subunit ribosomal RNA
Source: RNAcentral